Molecule: long non-coding RNA, 895 nt
Organism: Mauremys reevesii (Reeves's turtle)
Lineage: Eukaryota; Metazoa; Chordata; Testudines; Geoemydidae
Exons: 4
Source: RefSeq, a predicted model, not a curated record
UAUUCUGUGGACUGGAUGCAGAGCGUGAUGAGUCAUGCGGUGACCAGUGAGCGACUCAGGUGUAGGAUUUAUUGUGUGAAAGCUAAGUUGAAGAAGUUAGUUUUGUAGUUAGUUCUGAGAAUAGCAAGAUUCAUGGCCAUUUUUAUCUCUACAGGAGUGGGUUCCAGCAUCGAGGUCGGGCUAGAAUAUGUAUUCUAUCUCCUGUAUUCACGAGCCUUCCCACUGGAGGAUGCUUUGUUCUGGUGGAAUGUAGCCACAGUUACAGAGGGAGAGGUGACCUCUCAGGCAGAUUCACUGGGGGGCCACCAUGAGGAGAGUAGAGCACCAAGAUGAUGUGUUAAAGGGAACCCGUGUUGCUAAGCAGAUGGCCUGCUACAUUCCAUAAAAAUAGGAGCUUUGUCAGAAUGUAGCUUCAUUCUGCAUUGUGACAGAGUGCUGAGGCCUGACACUCUGACCACUGUACCCUCAAUUAGCUUCCCCAAUGAUGGCUGAUUGAGCAAUUAGCUAAUCAGAAGGAGAGGCUGGGGGAAGACUAAAGAAAACAACAAAGAACAAAUAUUCCAUUAGAGAAAGAAAGCAGAAUGUCCUUCACUCUGCAAGUCCCAUCUUGAAUCCUGCACGGGCCUGCCUGCCCCGGAGCAGGGACAAGGUGGCAGCCAUCUUACGUUUAAAAAUGUAGUGCAGAGAAAACAGAACAUUACAUAUGACCGUAUCUGAACCAUGUCAUAAGGAGCAUAGCAGAGAUACAGCGAUUUACACGUAGGCAGUGAAGUCGACGUAGAAGACAGAUGUAUGCAGUGGACCACAACAAAAGAAAACACAAACCAAUGCCUAAAAAAUUAGAACAGUGUAUAUAUAUCACAUCAUCUAUAUGUCUGUAGAGUAAUAUCUGAUA